ACGCUGGCGGCGUGCCUAACACAUGCAAGUCGAACGGAAUUUACAUGAAGCCUAGCGAUUGUAAAUUUAGUGGCGGACGGGUGAGUAACGCGUGGGUAACCUGCCUUGUACUGGGGGACAACAGAUGGAAACGACUGCUAAUACCGCAUAAGCGCACAGCUUCGCAUGAAGCAGUGUGAAAAACUCCGGUGGUACAAGAUGGACCCGCGUCUGAUUAGCUGGUUGGUGAGGUAACGGCCCACCAAGGCGACGAUCAGUAGCCGGCCUGAGAGGGUGAACGGCCACAUUGGGACUGAGACACGGCCCAAACUCCUACGGGAGGCAGCAGUGGGGAAUAUUGCACAAUGGGGGAAACCCUGAUGCAGCAACGCCGCGUGAGUGAAGAAGUAUUUCGGUAUGUAAAGCUCUAUCAGCAGGAAAGAAAAUGACGGUACCUGACUAAGAAGCCCCGGCUAACUACGUGCCAGCAGCCGCGGUAAUACGUAGGGGGCAAGCGUUAUCCGGAUUUACUGGGUGUAAAGGGAGCGUAGACGGUUUUGCAAGUCUGAAGUGAAAGCCCGGGGCUUAACCCCGGGACUGCUUUGGAAACUGUAGGACUAGAGUGCAGGAGAGGUAAGUGGAAUUCCUAGUGUAGCGGUGAAAUGCGUAGAUAUUAGGAGGAACACCAGUGGCGAAGGCGGCUUACUGGACUGUAACUGACGUUGAGGCUCGAAAGCGUGGGGAGCAAACAGGAUUAGAUACCCUGGUAGUCCACGCCGUAAACGAUGAUUACUAGGUGUUGGUGGGUACGACCCAUCGGUG
RNAcentral lists this ribosomal RNA (801 nucleotides) under uncultured bacterium. RNAcentral describes it as "bacterial SSU rRNA". It matches the Rfam family "Bacterial small subunit ribosomal RNA", at positions 33 to 845 of the family's 1533-position model. The record is from RNAcentral.